UCAUCAUAUAGUAAGAAUCAUUUUUGGAAAAACCUUAGCUGCAAAAAACAUCCAAAAUACACACAUACAUCACAAUAUAUACAAAUUUAAAAAACUUCCACAACUAAAUUUCUCCUGGAAAAGUCUGAUUCUCAUAUCAGGACGCCCAAUUUCAAACAGAAUAUUCAGAGUCUAACAACAACAACAUACUUCUAUUCCAGACUAAGUUUGCUUAAAAAGGUAAGCACCACUUUUUCAGAUGUAGUGGUUGCUGGUAGAAUUGAAGGUAACGCUAGCUGGAACCCCUCUCUCUGCCCCAUUCCUGAUAGAAACAAAAUACCAAAUUAGUUGCAUCCCUAUUAUAUUGUAAAGUUAGCAACUCAGAGGUUGUAAGACCCCAACUUUUUAUAAAUAAAAUCGAAUUUUCUCUAAUUAUUAUUCUUGAUUAAUAAGGUGGUAAUUUGAUAUAAUGCUUUGGUUAUGGGUGAAAUGUGCAAAUUUUUCAAAAUAAGCAAGUGGUUAUAAAAUAUUCAUUUCUGUCGGGGAAUAUUCGUUUGGUCGUGGAUAUUCUUUUUGUCGGGAAUAUCCGUACGACGGCGCAGUCAUUUGUGGGCCCCGUAACAAAAUAACUGUCGGAUGAGAAAAACGAUAAAGUAUGAGUUUAUAUGAAUAACGACGUAAUGGUUACCGUUAACACUGUUGGAUUACCUGGUGGUUAAAAUACAGUAAUACGCGUUGUUGCACAGUAGCACACGGUAUUGCACAGUAUUUUGAAUUAUUGAUCCUUACGUAAGAAGGCACUACUCAAUAAUUGUUACAGUAGUUACUGUUCAAUAUUUUAUUUUAUUGGUUCAAUAAUUGUUGCGUUGAUAUGUUAUAUUAUUGUUGUUCAAUAAUUAUCACUGCACAAUAUUUCCAUUAUCAGAUCAAUAAUUCAUAUUAUUUGAAUAAUAUUAUUAGAUAGCAUUAUUGGCAAUGUCUAGAAAGUUCUGUCUAAGGAGAGGUUAUUUAAUUGCGCGCCAGUAAGGAGAAAUCCUUACCGGAAGGCCCCCUCUUUCCUGGGAAUGGCCUGGUUGUCAUAAUUGUGAUUCUGUAAUAUUAUUCGAGAAUAAUUAAUUAUUGAUUUAUAUGAUAAGGAAAUAUUUAUUUUAUGUGGAUAUAAAUGAAGGAAUUUUUACAUGAAAUAAUUGUUGAAAGUUUGACAUAUUUUUGUGGAAUUACAAUUAUUUCUCUAAUAAAAUAUUCAUUUAAAUGUAUUUAUUUCAAAUAAUAUAUAUAUAUAUAUAUAUAUAUAUAUAUAUAUUUAUGCAUGUGAUUAAAUAAAAGGAGUGAGCAAAUUGUUUAGCUUGUCCGUUAUUUUCUAUGAGUGGUUGGUGUCUGAUGUGGUUUAUGUAAGCCAUUCCUUUGUUUUCAAAAGUAGUAUGCUUUUGGUUAUGUUUUUCAAAGUUGAAUUCUCCUGCAAAUACAUUUCAUGCUAGUGUUUCAAAUAGUGUGGGCCCUCCAUUAUUGCAAAAUGUAAGAGUUGUCUGCAAAUUUGAUUGUUUCAAAUGGGUGGGUGGCUCAAAUAAAAUUCUUUCUUGCUAAACUUGUGGGUCGAAGCCUUGAAAAAAAAACGAGAGAAGAGAAUGGAAAUUAGGCAGAUUGCUUUGUUGUUUCUCCCACCGUUUCAGUAUAAAUAGAGGGAUAACCCUCCUUCCUCAACACACCAUUUUCAUUAUCAGAAAUUCUUAUUCUAAAGUAUUGUGAGUAUUUUUCUUGAGUAUAAGAAAACUUUGAGCGUAAUUUUUCUGCAAGAUUUUCUCGGAAUAAUAUCCGAUAUUCCAAUCAAAUCCAGUUUCUACUAAGGUAAGGGAUGUUAUUUCUUUCGCAAAUGAUAUUAUUUUCUCCAAUAUCAUUAUGCCAAAAUAUUGGUUGAACUUUUUAUCAAAUUUGGAACUUGUUGUGUCGGGGUUACUAUUCACGUAUACGGCAUUAUUCACGAAUACGGCACUAUUCACCGAAAAAUAAAAUUUUUCCUUUUUGUCCAAAAUAUCUAUUAUGGGUAUUAUCUUUAAUUGUAUCCAUGUUUUGGUCUUUAUUUUUGAAAUUCUGCUUCAUAUUUGGUUAUUAUGGAGUAUUAUUGAAUUUGGAUAUACUGAAAUACGAAUCCCUAAUAUUUGUCCUUUUGUUUCAAUGGAUUCGUUUCUUUUAAAAUAUUUUUCAUCAUCCUCAGUCCUAAAUGAUGAUACUACUGAAUAUCUUUGGUCUGUAGUGCAAAGAUGAAUAUUGAUUGUUGUUACAGGGAUAAAAUAAUGAUGAUGGACUUUUAAAUGUUAGAAGAUAGUAGAACUCAUUCUCUACGUUACUCUUCUAAUGGAUUGUUGUUUCCGCUGCAUUUGUUGAUCUAAAACUUGUUGUCUAUUAUAUUCUAUCAGAUUUUUCCCUGUUGAGGACUAAUGAUAAUUUGUUGUAUAUUAUCUUAGUCAUAAUAUUCUUUACUGGGCUAGUUGAGCUCACCCUUUUCCUUGUUGUUCCAUUUUUCUUGUCAGGAGGUGAGAAUUUAGCAAGGACUAGCCGGGGUAUGGAAUGAUGAUUCAAGAUAGCUAUUUUAGUAGUCCUCACUAUUUUGUAAAAUAGUGUAUUAAUAAAUAUAAUGAGGACUUAUUUGGGUGUAGAUAUUGUCUAGAAGACAAUAUUUGUAUUUAAACUCAUAGCUUGUGUAUUUGUCGUAUUUUACGCGACAGUUGUAUUAAUAAACUUGUAGUUGUUUCUGUACCAUGUAUUUGGCGACUCAGAAUGGGUGUUGUAUACCUAUUUUGGGGGUGUCACAAGGCCCCAUAUACUGAAUACAAUUACAAAACAUGAGACAAACAUGUAAAAUUGAAAAAUAUGUACCAUGUUAUCCAAGCUAAGUAAUAAAAGAUUCAUUAUACUCAGGAUUCCAUUCUUAUCAUUACUAUUUUCAUCUAAUAAUCUUUUAUUUUCUCUUUUAAACACACUGAAAGCUCCACACCAGAUGGUAUCAUGGUAAUAUAAGAGUACACAACUGCUACGAACCAAUACAAUGAUAUCACUUCAAGUGGGAUCUCUCAAUUUAAAUUUCUAAAAGGAUACAGCAUGAUUCAACUUGUGAGGGCGGUAACAUAUAAAUACCAGGACAACCGAGGAAAGAUAACCUAUUGAUAACCACUAAUUCAAAAAUUUGUUAAUCAUUUUACUGUUAGUUGGACAAUGGAAUCCUUGAACUGUUUACCAAGCCAAAUGACCUCAAAGAAAAUGAAUAAAAAAAAUCAAUUACAAAAAUGUAAAACUCAAACACACAUACAAUAAAGUAAUAUGCAGCACUUCCAUGGCCCCCUAAUCUGUUACCAAAUUUGAACAACACUGAUCCCAUAAAAUGACCCUCCUAAAGAAAGGGUAGAUUCUAUUUUUUCAACUUAAAAUUUGACUUGUAAUAUGUUUUAAAUUUAAGAACAUCAAACUUUGAGAGCAGUAGAAUUUAGCUGCCAUUUAGGGGGCAUUUAAGGAAGGGGCUAAACUUAUUUUCUAUCCAAAACCCCUUCACUUUCCGGGUUUUACAACUUUUCCCAAAAAAUAUUCAACUUCUCAAACAAUUAGUAAUACUCAUCUUAAAACUAAUAUAAUGCUCCACAAUUUAGUCUCUUGAGGCUUAAAAAAAGGAACCCCACCUGAUAUGAAUGGAAUGAGCAGAAAGAUUUUAUUCCUUCAAUAAGAAAUAAAGCUCUAAUUCCCAGCUUCCACGUGUUUUCACAGAAAGUGAUAUAUAAUAAGAAUAUCGAUGAGGUGAACAUCACCAACAAAUGAGAUAUUUACAAAAAAAAAAAACUGAAACAAAAUCAAAGUAAAGAAAUUCGUACAUCCAGAUUAUGAGUUUGUACGAAUUAGGCAACGAUUGUAUGGAGUUUUACCUUCAGAUCUGUUUUACCUUCAAAGUAAAAAAAAUCAAAGUUAUGGAGUUUUACCUUCAGAUCUGUUUGCCUCUGCUUCCGAUAAGCUCUUCCGCCUGCUACCUUAUCGUGUGAGAGAGGGAGGGAAGAAGAUGGAGCAGAGUUUUUAGUCCGUCAGUUUGAUCUGAG
This 4055-nucleotide long non-coding RNA is filed under the name Panax ginseng (ginseng). RNAcentral's name for it is "long non-coding RNA (PGIN_LNC017497)". Lineage: Eukaryota; Viridiplantae; Streptophyta; Magnoliopsida; Apiales; Araliaceae. The record is from RNAcentral.